UGCCUGGCUCAAAGUUUAAUUUUUAGCUC
RNAcentral lists this non-coding RNA (29 nucleotides) under Mus musculus (house mouse). Lineage: Eukaryota; Metazoa; Chordata; Mammalia; Rodentia; Muridae. The record is from RNAcentral.